RNAcentral lists this long non-coding RNA (727 nucleotides) under Homo sapiens (human). RNAcentral's name for it is "HSALNT0405661". Lineage: Eukaryota; Metazoa; Chordata; Mammalia; Primates; Hominidae. The record is from RNAcentral.
UGGGCCUAUUUAAGGAGGCUUUGGGGUGGCGGGCAAUGUUUUUUUUUUUUUUCAUGAUGGCUGCCCCCAAGGGUCUUCUGCUGGUUGCUCUAGUCUUGCUACUUGGUGCUUUGGGGAGGAUGCACAAGUGGCAGGUCCGAUGACAGGUGCUCCAACACCUUGUCCCCGGCCCCCCCUUACCAAACAAACAUAAUAAAGCAAAUAGACAACUGUCCUGGUAAACCAGGCUCCAAAGAGUUAAAGAAACCAAAGACUAAAUUCUUGGACUUACAGAAUAGCAGAUAAGAAAAGAAAGAACUUGCUGAAAAGCUGAAACUAAGACUGUGCCCCGAAGAGUAAGAAACCAGUAACAGAAAUUCUUGAGUUUGCAGGAUAGCAGAUAAGAAAAGAAACAGCUUGCCGAAACACGGACACUCCCUGCACUUACGAGAUCAAGAAAAAAACUGGCUGAUGGCCGGGCCCGGUGCCUCAAGCCUGUAACCCCAGCACUUUGGGAGGCCAAGGUUCUCACUCUGUCACCCAGGCUAAAGUGCAGUGGUGUGAUCUUGGCUCACUGCAGCCUCAACCUUCUGUGCUCAAGUGAUUCUCCCACUUCAGCCUCCUGAGUAGCUGGGACAACAGGAUGUACAGAAAGCAUGGUGCCGGCAUCUGCUCAGCUUCUGGUGAGGGCUUCAGGAAGCGUUUACUCAUAGCAGAAGAGGAAGGGGAGCCAGCGUGUCACAUGGUG